GACGAACGCUGGCGGCGUGCUUAACACAUGCAAGUCGAACGGAAAGGCCCUGCUUUUGUGGGGUGCUCGAGUGGCGAACGGGUGAGUAACACGUGAGUAACCUGCCCUUGACUUUGGGAUAACUUCAGGAAACUGGGGCUAAUACCGGAUAGGAGCUCCUGCUGCAUGGUGGGGGUUGGAAAGUUUCGGCGGUUGGGGAUGGACUCGCGGCUUAUCAGCUUGUUGGUGGGGUAGUGGCUUACCAAGGCUUUGACGGGUAGCCGGCCUGAGAGGGUGACCGGCCGGAUAGAGUGGGACAGACGGACCAGGCACCCUCGGGAGGGAGGAGGGGGGGGUGAUGCAUACAGGGUGGGGGGCACACGGAGCAACCGCGCGGGCGGGAGGACGGACGUCGGGUUGUAAACAGAGCUCGCCUGUAACGAAGCGGGAGGGACGGUAAAUAGUAAAGAGGCACCGGCAAACUACGG
This 467-nucleotide ribosomal RNA is filed under the name uncultured bacterium. RNAcentral describes it as "partial 16S ribosomal RNA". It matches the Rfam family "Bacterial small subunit ribosomal RNA", at positions 28 to 506 of the family's 1533-position model. The record is from RNAcentral.